This is a long non-coding RNA of Pan troglodytes (chimpanzee), 1088 nucleotides long. RefSeq lists it as uncharacterized. The record is from RefSeq and is a predicted model, not a curated record. NCBI's taxonomy places the organism in Eukaryota, Metazoa, Chordata, Mammalia, Primates, Hominidae. The transcript has 7 exons.
AAUCUUCUAGGAGCAGCUAACAAGAAUCCUAAUACAGGAGUGUUUAUGGUUGGGUUGAGACACAUUCAGGAGCUGAGUGAUUGACAGCAAGAGGAGCAAGACAUGAGCCUGGCUCAGUGGGUCAUGCCAGUAAUCCCAGCACUUUGGGAGGCCAAGGCAGGCGGAUCAUUUGAGGUUAAUAAUUAUCAAAUAUAUGGCAAUGCUGGACUUUAGCUGAUGAUCGUGCUUCUGGAAAACAACAAAAAUUGAGAUAUCUUUUCACCACUUUGUGUGUCCAAGGACCACCUACUUUUUACAUGUGACAAGAACUACCCACCUCCACUCUUCAGGAUAGAACAUGCUGAAGAAAAGAGUUGCAAUGAGAAAAUAUAUGGGAACAAAAUACCUGUGCAAUGCAGAGGUCUGCAUAACUGAACCACUCAGAGGAAAAAAACAGUUUCCCUCCCAGGCUGGAGUACAAUGGCGCGACCUCGGCUCACUGCAACUUCCAUCUCCCAGGUUCAAGCAAUUCUCCCACCUCAGCCUCCUUACUAGCUGGGAUUACAAGCGCCUGACACCAGGCCCAGCUAUUUUUGUAUUUUUAGUAGAGACGGGGUUUCACCAUUUUGACCAGGCUGGUCUCAAACUCCUGACCUCAGUCCAUCGGUCCACCUCGGCCUCCCAAAGUGCUGGGAUUGCAGGCAUGAGCCACCGCUCCUGGCCUCAAGUUUAAUUCUUAAGUGCUCUUCUUCACUCUCUGGCUUGCUCACUUUCUGGGAAGACAUUUGUCAUACUGUGAGAUACCCUAUGAAAAGUCUAAAAUUGCAAGAAGUGAGAGGCUCCAGACAACAGCCAGGUAGAAACUGAGGCUGUUCAUCCAACAUCUUUGAGGACCUAAAUAUUGCCACGAACCAAAUAAAUGAACUUGACAUUCCACCCUCCCCAGGUUGUCCUUCAGAUAAAACUCCAGCCCUGGACAACAGCGUGAUUGAAAAAACAAGAAACUUUAGCCAGAGAUUGCCAUUUCAGGACACCUCCUACAUCUGAAGAAAUAUGCAUUGAUCUUGCAGAACUUUUCUCCUCCAAAUAAAAGUCAGUAUGAUAACAAC